Molecule: long non-coding RNA, 965 nt
Organism: Misgurnus anguillicaudatus (oriental weatherfish)
Lineage: Eukaryota; Metazoa; Chordata; Actinopteri; Cypriniformes; Cobitidae
Source: RefSeq, a predicted model, not a curated record
UUUUAAUUUGAUCCAUGAUGAUGAAGAUGAAGACUCGACAUCAUUAACUUUGCAUUACAUUUUGCCAACAACAACGUCCGUUUUACCCGUCAAUCAACCGGAGUCACGUGACGUGAGUCACGUAAGUUAGAUGACUCUACAGAAUUUUUUUUCACAUAACCCAAUUAAUUACAUGUUCGUAGGUAUAUGGGUCUAUGUUAAUUUUAGGAAUGAAAAAUACAAUUUACUUGGAAGCAGACGCAGCAGUUUGUGUUGUGUGGCCUCUGGCCUGGGAUCAGUCAAUCCCUUGCUCAAGGCGAGCGAGGGACUUGCAGUCGCAAGUUGAUUCCCCGCCCCCCUCACCCGUGCCUCUUCUGACACGCACACAACUGUGUUUCUCAGCACUAACUUGAUAUGGAAAUGAGCGGUUUUGAUAUUAUUAUUUUUUUUUAGGGCGCUCGUGCGCACUCACAUAGAUUGCGCCCUGGGCGUUCGCCCACAUUGCCCAUAGCAAAAACCGUCCCUGCUUAUAGCUAAUGUUAAAGGUUUGAAAGAUAGCACUGUUAGCCUGUUAUAUCAAAUUAGUACACCCGAUUGUUUUGUUAAAUAUAUGUAUUGGUGUGUAUGUAUAUGUUAAUGAAAAAAGGUAGCGUCAGAAAAUCUGUUUUUUUAAUGUAGCGUGAAAGUUAACCAUUUAUUGACUGUUUAGAGGUUGUAAGGCUUUUACCUAACUGUAUUUAGUAUUAAUGAUGCUGCAUUCUUUCCUCAGAAGCUAAAGUUUUUCAAAGACAUUUGUGGACUUUGCAGCUAAUGAUUUCCUACGGCUGAACCAAAACCUGCCAGACUAAAGUUGAUUUGGGAGAGAAAGACGUUGUAAACUUAAUCAUCUUGACAUUCUUCAAUGAGUAAUUGUUCAAUUUUUAGGCAAAUACUGUACACUUUGAAUGCUGUGAAUAAAACUAUAUUUUAAAUAUAUUUAAAAUGAA